This 86-nucleotide transfer RNA is filed under the name Bryobacterales bacterium. RNAcentral's name for it is "tRNA-Leu". It matches the Rfam family "tRNA". Rfam says of the family: Transfer RNA (tRNA) molecules are approximately 80 nucleotides in length. Their secondary structure includes four short double-helical elements and three loops (D, anti-codon, and T loops). Further hydrogen bonds mediate the characteristic L-shaped molecular structure. tRNAs have two regions of fundamental functional importance: the anti-codon, which is responsible for specific mRNA codon recognition, and the 3' end, to which the tRNAs corresponding amino acid is attached (by aminoacyl-tRNA synthetases). tRNAs cope with the degeneracy of the genetic code in two manners: having more than one tRNA (with a specific anti-codon) for a particular amino acid; and 'wobble' base-pairing, i.e. permitting non-standard base-pairing at the 3rd anti-codon position. Lineage: Bacteria; Pseudomonadati; Acidobacteriota; Terriglobia; Bryobacterales. The record is from RNAcentral.
GCCAGUUACUUACAGGUUAAUGCAACGGACUUAAAAUCCGUUUUCCGGCAACGGAAGUGCGGGUUCAAGUCCCGCCCCGGGCACCA